ACGAGGGGUCCAAGCGUUGUUCGGAAUCAUUGGGCGUAAAGCGGGUGUAGGUGGCUCUGUAAGUCGGAAGUGAAAGCCCAAGGCUCAACCUUGGAAGUGCUUUCGAUACUACAAAGCUUGAGUGUGGGAGAGGAUAGUGGAAUUCCAGGUGUAGUGGUGAAAUACGUAGAUAUCUGGAGGAACACCGGUGGCGAAGGCGGCUAUCUGGCCCAACACUGACACUCAGACCCGAAAGCGCGGGGAUCAAACAGGAUUAGAUACCCUGGUAGUCCGCGCCAUAAACGAUGGAUACUUGGUGUUGGAGGUAUUGACCCCUUCAGUGCCGAAGCAAACGCGUUAAGUAUCCCGCCUGGGAAGUACGGCCGCAAGGUUA
This 373-nucleotide ribosomal RNA is filed under the name uncultured bacterium. RNAcentral describes it as "bacterial SSU rRNA". It matches the Rfam family "Bacterial small subunit ribosomal RNA", at positions 525 to 896 of the family's 1533-position model. The record is from RNAcentral.